GGGCCCGUGGUCUAGCGGUAUGACGUCACCUUUACACGGUGAAGGUCCCCGGUUCGAAUCCGGGCGGGCCCA
RNAcentral lists this transfer RNA (72 nucleotides) under Candidatus Woesearchaeota archaeon. RNAcentral describes it as "tRNA-Val". It matches the Rfam family "tRNA". From Rfam's summary of the family: Transfer RNA (tRNA) molecules are approximately 80 nucleotides in length. Their secondary structure includes four short double-helical elements and three loops (D, anti-codon, and T loops). Further hydrogen bonds mediate the characteristic L-shaped molecular structure. tRNAs have two regions of fundamental functional importance: the anti-codon, which is responsible for specific mRNA codon recognition, and the 3' end, to which the tRNAs corresponding amino acid is attached (by aminoacyl-tRNA synthetases). tRNAs cope with the degeneracy of the genetic code in two manners: having more than one tRNA (with a specific anti-codon) for a particular amino acid; and 'wobble' base-pairing, i.e. permitting non-standard base-pairing at the 3rd anti-codon position. Lineage: Archaea; Nanobdellati; Candidatus Woesearchaeota. The record is from RNAcentral.